RNAcentral lists this ribosomal RNA (270 nucleotides) under uncultured prokaryote. RNAcentral's name for it is "partial 16S ribosomal RNA". It matches the Rfam family "Bacterial small subunit ribosomal RNA", at positions 524 to 794 of the family's 1533-position model. The record is from RNAcentral.
UACGUAGGGGGCGAGCGUUGUCCGGAUUUACUGGGCGUAAAGGGUGAGUAGGCGGUUGUAUAUGUCAGGUGUAAAAGGCUAUGGCUUAACCAUGGUUAGCACUUGAAACUGUAUUUCUUGAGUGAUGGAGAGGCAAGUGGAAUUCCUAGUGUAGCGGUGAAAUGCGUAGAUAUUAGGAGGAACACCAGUGGCGAAGGCGACUUGCUGGACAUUAACUGACGCUGAGAAGCGAAAGCAUGGGGAGCGAACAGGAUUAGAUACCCCGGUAGU